Long non-coding RNA from Pipra filicauda (Wire-tailed manakin), 319 nucleotides. RefSeq lists it as uncharacterized. The transcript has 4 exons. The record is from RefSeq and is a predicted model, not a curated record. Lineage: Eukaryota; Metazoa; Chordata; Aves; Passeriformes; Pipridae.
ACAACAAAAGCAUGGGAGCUUGCAGAUGCUUUAUGUGGGUGAUCUUGACAUACACCUCUGUUCCAAACACAGCUCAACGGAGGACAGGAAUAUGAUCACUGGGUGCCCAGCUAAAGCAGCUUUCCCUGGGUGAACUGUCAAGGAAAGCGUGGCCCACAGCGCUGCUCUCCUCUGGAUGACUCCUCUGCACACACCUCAGUGGAGAACAGCCAUCCCUGUGAGUUCCACGUUUUGGAGGGAACAAGGAGUAAGAAGCUGCAGAAGACAAGGAGACGGGAUCAAUGUUCACUUUUCAUAGAGAGAGAAAAAAAUAAAGCAA